Molecule: long non-coding RNA, 119 nt
Organism: Amblyraja radiata (thorny skate)
Lineage: Eukaryota; Metazoa; Chordata; Chondrichthyes; Rajiformes; Rajidae
Exons: 3
Source: RefSeq, a predicted model, not a curated record
GCACUUUAACCACAUGUGAUUUUUUUUCUCUUACAAAUCUCAAAUAGUGGAGUACAGAGGCAAUGAUGGGCCUUUGUCCCACACAUUAUUGAGGGCACUGUAGAUGAGGCCAUAUACAA